UUAGUAAAUUAAAACAUAUGACUCAUCCAUUAACCCAGACAAAACAUAAUUGGCUAGAUGGUUAAAAGUUGAUGAAAUUAUCCUUAAAACUCGAGUUUGAUUCUCCCUUGUAGCAUAAUUUUUAUUUUGGCCUAAAACCCUAACUAUGUCAUCCCAUGUGGUAAAUCCCCUCUUCUCUUUUUUCUCAUCUUCCCCCAUUUUCUUUUCCUCUCUUUUUCAUUGUGUCGCCCCUAAGACCUAAUUUUAUUCCGUAUUCUUCUUCUUUAUUCCUAUGUUGUCGUCGCCCUAGUGAACAACCAUCGUUGUUGUCGCCGUCCAUUGGAAACCUCCCAUCCUCUCUUUAUUUUUUUGCUUCUUUAUUGUGGUACCAUUUAUUUUUGGUCCAUUAUUGCUGCCAUUUCGCACACCACUUCUGCCCCUUGAGGCCCCUCAAUCUCACUUCUUUUCUUCUUUAUUUGCUGUCGGUUUUGCACUUCUUUCAUCACACAUCUGAAUCUGGAGUGUUCAGAUCCGAAUCACUUGGAUCAGCAGUAGCGCCAGAAGUUGCUUGCUCCACCCUUUAAAGUCAAAAUAGAGUAAGUAGUAAUCUCUAAAAUCAGAUCUGUAAAACCAAUCUUUUUCUCUAAUUUGGCGAACCCUUUAGGGUGAUUAACGGUUGAUUUCUAACAACUUUUCUUGUGUUAGGUACAAAUUUGAACUAGAUUUAGCUAGAUCUGAAACUUAGGACCUGUAGAUUAGCGAUAGUGCUUCUGUUUCGCGUUAAUCAGGUGUGGGUCCUAACUUUUUGUGUGUUAAUGAUUGUUGUAAGCAUGUGUAAGUGUUACUUUGGUGAUUGGCCGAUUAUAUAUGUGGUUUAAGUGCUAUGGCGGAAUGUUAUAGGGACUUAAGAUGUGUCUAUCCAAAUGUGUAAGUGCUAUAAAGAUUUAAGCUGAUUGUAUGAUUGCUGAAAUUGGUUGAAUUGCACUGUUAUUACUUGUAUUGUAGCAUGCUGAUUGUUAUUGUUAAAUUGAUUGCAUGUAAAACAUGCCAUUGACUGUUAUCGUAUAUUGUUUGCAUGUAAGUGUGGAAACUUUUUUUGGAAAUUGACUUUUUAUUUUAAAACGAAAAUGGAGUAGCCACCAAUCUUUUUUAUUAGGUGUGAUUGAAUUACCUCGAAACUUAAUCAUUUUAAUAAAAAAUCGUUAAAUUUACUAAAACGAUAAUUUUCAGUGUACAAAAUUCAGGAAGUGGGUUCGGGAGUCGAUUACGUAUGAGGAAUAAUUAGCACCCUCAUAACGCCCCAAAUUGAUACCUAGUAGAUUACUUGAUGUCUCAGUGUCGAGAAUUGAGAAUUCAAAGAAAAUUUAAAAUGCGAAACCCUUCUUGCAUGAUUUUGAUUAAAAUAUCGCUAGCUAAAUUAAAUUUUAUGGAAAGAGCCUUCUUAUUUCAAGUUAAUUAAGAAAAAAUGAUCAUAUUCCGUAAGUUAGGGUACGAUAUCUCGAAUCCUCGAAAAUAAGAAUACUCGUCAUUUGAUUAUUACCUAAGUCCUAUGUGUCUUGAAUUUUAAAUAAGAUGUUUGAUUAUUUCGGUUCUAGAAAGAUGUCAUAUUCCGUAAGUUAGGAGCACGACUCCUCGAAUCUCAAAAAUAAUGAACAUUGCCUUGGUUUUAAUUACUUCUUAUGCGUCGUGUAAAAACAAAUGCACCACUUAAUAUGAGAUGCAAUUGAGCGUAGUACGGAAAUAAAUAAAUGUAUCUAAGCAUAAUAGAUAAUAUGGUAAUGACUAAAAUAAAAUAAAAUAACUACACGAGUAAAUAAAUAAUAAAUAAUAAAUAAAAUAAAAAAUUUCGAAAUGACCAUAGUAAAAUAAUAAUAUAAGAACAAAUAACAGUGAUCACUAUAAUCAAAUAGUGAUAAUGCAACUAUAAUAACAACAACACAAAUAGAUGAUAAUAACAAUAAUAAUAACAAUUAUGACAUGGUUAAUAAUGAAAAUAAUAAAUCAAAGAUAAAAGUAAAUAUUACUUAAUUUAAAGGGCAAAAUGUAAAUAAUAAAAUUAAAAAUGCUAAAAACAAAAAUACACUAAAAAUAAAUGAGUUAAAUUAAAUAAAGGACUUAAUCGAAACUGUGGUAAAAUUUAAAGGAUAAAUUAUGAAGGAUUCGAAAAUAAAGGAUUAAAGUAAAAUAAAAUAGAAAAAUACAGGGACUCAGAAUGCAAUUAUCCCAACCACUACACACGUGCCACAUUUAAAGAAGUUGUCAGUGAGUUAGGGGGACCAAACUGAAAAUAUAAUAAAAUUUAAAGUAUAAAAUUAAAAAAUAAAAACAAAAAUAGAACAUAAAGGGUCAAAUUAAAAUAAAAUGGAAAAAUACAGGGACUUAGAGGGUUAUUUUCCCAACCCAAGUACACAUCUCAUUCCCUUAAUGGGUCAACAAUGUGUCAAGGGACUAAUUUGUGAGAAAAUAAAAUUAAAGAGGUGAAAUUAAAACAAAUAAAAAAGGAAUAGGACGAAAUUAAAAAAAGAGCAAAAAGGUGGAAGGACCAAAAUGACAAUUAGACCAUCACUGUGAAAACACACAAACCCUGAGGUUAUUUGAGUUAGAUCUUUGGCUCGUGCUAAACGACGUUGUUUUGGACGUCUGAAGCCAAUCCCAAAACAACAUCAUUUUAGGGGUCUAUUUAAAUCUAAAAAAUCUAAAAGAAUUCAUUUUAAACAUUUGUUUAAAAAAAAACUCUCUUUCACUCUUCUUUUUUCUCUCAAAUCCUUCCUAUCGUUCUGUCAUAAAGACGGCGAACCUUCACCAAGGCCACCGAUCAUCAACGACGGCGACCACCGCCUCCGGUGGCCAAAAAAUUAAAAAAAACUUUUUUAGCCCUUUUUGCGCAGAAUGCAAAUCUGGGGUUCAAAUCCCUAAAAAAUCAGUCAAAGUCUGACCGAGGGCAGAGAAACCUUUCGGUUUCUCCCUUUUUCGACGAGACCCUCGACGGAACCCUAGGGGUUCCGAGGCUUCUCAAGUUGGAGAAAGGGGAAAUCCACGAUGGUGUUCAACAGGUAAACUAAAAAUAAAAUAAACCUUAUAUUAUUCUUUUUUAUGCUUGCUUUGAAAAUAAAAAAUAUAAAACAAACUACCUUUUUUUUAAGCUUUGUUAUUGCUUUCUUCUAUUUCAUUUCCUGUCAAAAGCUACAAAGGAUUUGGGCUUUACAGCCGAAUAUUACAAAUAUUUUUGUUUUCCUUUUUUUUCUUUUUUUGCUUUUGCUUCUGCUCUCUGUUUCUGUCCUCUUUUAUUUUUUGCAGGUAGCAUGGUGGUGGUGGCAAGGGGCCGAAGUCAACGGUAGUUGGGAGCCACACAACCUUGCCAUUUUGGUGCAAUGGUGGCAAAGAGAGUGUCAGGCCUCAGAUGGCACGCCAGCUGACGUGGUGUGGGAAGCGACAGCUAGAGACUUUAGGGGGAGCUAGGGUUUCUGAAAAAUUUAGGUUCUUGGGCUUUCGGGCUUAGGUAAUUUGGGCUUUAGGGUUUUGUAUUUGGGCUUGCAAUAUGGACUAGACUUUUAAUUAAUGGAUUUUUUAUUUUUGUUUUUUAUUAUUUUUGUUUAGGCCGGAUAAAAGUGGGCCUCUACAGUAAGCAUGCCACUAUUUAUUACUAAUCCUACUUAUUGCAUGCAAAGCAUGACACCGAUACUGUAUUACUGAAUGCAUGUUAAGCAUGCUACCAUUACUGAAAUUGAUAUUGAUGAGCAUGAUUUGCUACA
This is a long non-coding RNA of Gossypium raimondii (Peruvian cotton), 3731 nucleotides long. RefSeq lists it as uncharacterized. The record is from RefSeq and is a predicted model, not a curated record. NCBI's taxonomy places the organism in Eukaryota, Viridiplantae, Streptophyta, Magnoliopsida, Malvales, Malvaceae. The transcript is spliced from 2 exons.